Molecule: transfer RNA, 76 nt
Filed under: Dehalococcoidia bacterium
Lineage: Bacteria; Bacillati; Chloroflexota; Dehalococcoidia
Description: tRNA-Ala
Rfam family: tRNA
About the family: Transfer RNA (tRNA) molecules are approximately 80 nucleotides in length.
Source: RNAcentral
GGGCCUGUAGCUCAGAUGGGAGAGCACCGCGUUCGCAUCGCGGGAGGCGCCGGUUCGAGUCCGGCCAGGUCCACCC